CUUCGGAGGGUAUGCUUAAAGAGGGGCUUGCGUCACAUUAGUUAGUUGGUAAGGUAAAGGCUUACCAAGACGAUGAUGUGUAGCUGGACUGAGAGGUUGAACAGCCACAUUGGGACUGAGACACGGCCCAAACUCCUACGGGAGGCAGCAGUAGGGAAUUUUCGGCAAUGGAGGAAACUCUGACCGAGCAACGCCGCGUGAACGAUGAAGUACUUCGGUAUGUAAAGUUCUUUUAUUGAAGAAGAAAAAAUAGUGGAAAAACUAUAUUGACGUUAUUCAAUGAAUAAGCCCCGGCUAACUAUGUGCCAGCAGCCGCGGUAAUACAUAGGGGGCGAGCGUUAUCCGGAAUUAUUGGGCGUAAAGGGUGCGUAGGCGGUUUGAUAAGUCUCUAGUUUAAUUUCAGCGCUUAACGCUGUCCUGCUAGAGAAACUGUCUUACUAGAGUGAGAUAGAGGCAAGCGGAAUUCCAUGUGUAGCGGUAAAAUGUGUAAAUAUGUGGAGGAACACCAGAGGCGUAGGCGGCUUGCUGGGUCUUUACUGACGCUGAGGCACGAAAGCGUGGGGAGCAAACAGGAUUAGAUACCCUGGUAGUCCACGCCGUAAACGAUGAGUACUAAGUGUCGGGGCAACUCGGUACUGAAGUUAACACAUUAAGUACUCCGCCUGAGUAGUACGUACGCAAGUAUGAAACUUAAAGGAAUUGACGGGAUCCCGCACAAGCGGUGGAUCAUGUUGUUUAAUUCGAAGAUACACGAAAAACCUUACCAGGUCUUGACAUAUUCUGCGAAUCUAUAGAAAUAUAGUGGAGGUUACCAGAAAUACAGGUGGUGCAUGGUUGUCGUCAGCUCGUGUCGUGAGAUGUUAGGUUAAGUUCUAAAACGAGCGCAACCCUUAUCGUUAGUUACCAGCAUGUUAUGAUGGGGACUUUAGCGAGACUGCCAAUGAAAAAUUGGAGGAAGGUGAGGAUUACGUCAAAUCAUCAUGCCCCUUAUGAUCUGGGCUACAAACGUGAUACAAUGGCUAUUACAAAGAGUAGCUGAAACGUGAGUUUUUAGCCAAUCUCAAAAAAAUAGUCUCAGUUCGGAUUGAAGU
This 1091-nucleotide ribosomal RNA is filed under the name Tanzanian lethal decline phytoplasma. RNAcentral describes it as "bacterial SSU rRNA". It matches the Rfam family "Bacterial small subunit ribosomal RNA", at positions 202 to 1304 of the family's 1533-position model. The record is from RNAcentral. Lineage: Bacteria; Bacillati; Mycoplasmatota; Mollicutes; Acholeplasmatales; Acholeplasmataceae.